UGAGGAAUAUUGGUCAAUGGGGCGGCGAGCCUGAACCAGCCAAGUCGCGUGAGGGAUGACGGCCCUACGGGUUGUAAACCUCUUUUGUCGGGGAGCAAUGCCCAGCUCGCGAGCUGGGAAGGAGAGUACCCGGAAGAAAAAGCAUCGGCUAACUCCGUGCC
RNAcentral lists this ribosomal RNA (161 nucleotides) under uncultured bacterium. Its description in RNAcentral is "partial 16S ribosomal RNA". It matches the Rfam family "Bacterial small subunit ribosomal RNA", at positions 355 to 509 of the family's 1533-position model. The record is from RNAcentral.